RNAcentral lists this ribosomal RNA (480 nucleotides) under Phyllium sp. 10 SB-2021. RNAcentral describes it as "partial large subunit ribosomal RNA". The stretch from base 342 to 480 matches the Rfam family "Bacterial large subunit ribosomal RNA", at positions 2473 to 2612 of the family's 2925-position model. Lineage: Eukaryota; Metazoa; Arthropoda; Insecta; Phasmatodea; Phylliidae. The record is from RNAcentral.
AUGAUUUAAUUUAAUGGCCGCGGUAUUUUGACCGUGCAAAGGUAGCAUAAUAAUUAGCUUAUUAAUUGUGAGCUUGUAUGAAUGGUUGGACGAAAUAUUAACUGUCUCAUUAUUAUUGUAUAUAAUUUAAUUUUUUAGUUAAAAAGCUUAAAUUUUUUUAGAGGACGAGAAGACCCUAUAGAUCUUUAUUUUCAUUAUUUUAUUUAUUAUUUUGUAUUUAUAAAUUUAUUGAAUUUUUAGUUGGGGUGAUUUUGAGAUAUAAUUAACUCUUUUUAUUUAUUUUCAUUUAUUUAUGUUUAAUUGACCUUUUAUUAUUGUUUAUAAGAUAAAGAUACCUUAGGGAUAACAGCGUAAUUCUUUUUGAGAGUUCAUAUUGACAAUGGAGAUUGCGACCUCGAUGUUGAAUUAAGAUAAAUGUUGGGUGUAGAAGCUUAAUUUUUAGGUCUGUUCGACCUUUAGAUUCUUACAUGAUCUGAGUCA